Molecule: ribosomal RNA, 468 nt
Filed under: uncultured bacterium
Lineage: Bacteria
Description: partial 16S ribosomal RNA
Rfam family: Bacterial small subunit ribosomal RNA
Source: RNAcentral
GACGAACGCUGGCGGCGUGCUUAACACAUGCAAGUCGAACGGAAAGGCCCUGCUUUUGUGGGGUGCUCGAGUGGCGAACGGGUGAGUAACACGUGAGUAACCUGCCCUUGACUUUGGGAUAACUUCAGGAAACUGGGGCUAAUACCGGAUAGGAGCUCCUGCUGCAUGGUGGGGGUUGGAAAGUUUCGGCGGUUGGGGAUGGACUCGCGGCUUAUCAGCUUGUUGGUGGGGUAGUGGCCUACCAAGGCUUUGACGGGUAGCCGGCCUGAGGGGGUGACCGGCCACAUUGGGACUGAGAUACGGCCCAGACUCCUACGGGAGGCAGCAGUGGGGAAUAUUGCACAAUGGGCGGAAGCCUGAUGCAGCAACGCCGCGUGCGGGAUGACGGCCUUCGGGUUGUAAACCGCUUUCGCCUGUGACGAAGCGUGAGUGACGGUAAUGGGUAAAGAAGCACCGGCUAACUACAUG